Molecule: unclassified non-coding RNA, 254 nt
Filed under: Ambisporaceae sp.
Lineage: Eukaryota; Fungi; Glomeromycota; Glomeromycetes; Archaeosporales; Ambisporaceae
Description: partial contains 5.8S ribosomal RNA and internal transcribed spacer 2
Rfam family: 5.8S ribosomal RNA (bases 1-71)
Source: RNAcentral
GUGAAUCAUCGAAUCUUUGAACGCAGAUUGCACUCUCUGGUAUUCCGGAGAGUAUGCCUGUUUGAGGGUAAUUAAAAAGAAUCUUUACCAAUUUUUUUGGUUAAAGGAAAUGAGGUCUCCGCGAUUAUAGCGGUAGCUUGAAAUAAAUGGUCAAGUCUCAUUUUAGUCGAAGAGAGUAUUAAUAUUAUUUCGCGAAAUGUUCAUUAUGGGACUAUCAAUUCUUGAUGCAUACAAAUUUGGUUUGUAUUCGAUCA